This 1646-nucleotide long non-coding RNA is filed under the name Sus scrofa (pig). Its description in RNAcentral is "lncRNA (ENSSSCG00015024834.1)". Lineage: Eukaryota; Metazoa; Chordata; Mammalia; Artiodactyla; Suidae. The record is from RNAcentral.
UCGAACCUGCAAUCUCAUGGUUCCUAGUCAGAUUCGUUAACCACUGAGCCAUGACGGGAACUCUGGGAACUCCUUUAUUUAUUUAUUUAUUUAAUUUAUUUUAUUUUAUUCUUUUUAGGGCUGCACUUGUGGCAUAUGGAAGUUCCCAAGCUAGGGGUUGAAUCGGAGCUGCACCAGCUGGCCUAUCCCACAGCCAUAGCAAUGCAGGAUCCAAGCUGCCUCUAUAAACUGCAGCACAGCUCAUGGCAACACCAGAUCCUUAACCCACUGAGCUGGGCCGGGGAUUGAACCCUUAUCCUCAUGGAUACUAGUCAGAUUUGUAACCACUGAGACACAAUGGGAACUCCGUGCAGUGUUGGUUUGUUUUUUUACUUAUUUGUUUUUUUGUGUGUGUCUUUUUAGGGCCACAUCCGCAGCACAUGGAAGUUCCCAGGCUAGGGGUCAAAUCAUAGCUGAACCUGCCAGCCUACAGCACAGCCACAGCAAGCAGGAUCUGAGCCUCGUCUGUGACCUACACCAACAGCUCAUGGUAACGCUGAAUUCUUAAGCCGCUGAGCGAGGGCCAGGGAUCAAACCUGCGUCCUCAUGGAUACUAGUCGGUUUUGUUACCAAGGAGCCACAGCGGGAACUCCCCUGCAGUGGUUUUUUAAAAAUUUUGUUUGCUUUUUUUUCCCCUUUUUAGCGCCUCACUCGUGGCACAUGGAAGUUCCCAGGCUAGGGGUCAAAUCGGAGCUACAGCUGCCGGCCUGCCCCACAGCCAAAGCCACAGCAACGCCAGAUGCUUAGCUCAUUGAGCGAGGCCAGGGAUGGAACCCGCAACCUCAUGGUUCCUAGUCGGGUUUGUUUCCCCUGCGCCCCGGACGGGAACUCCCUCAGAACAAUUUAAUUACCCCAAAGAGUUUCCUUGUGCCAGUUUACAGUUAAUUGCUGAUUCUGCCCUUCGUCAAGCACCAGUAAACUUUUAGCUUCUAUAUAUUUACCUUUUCUCGACAUUUCACGGAGUCAUACAACAUGUGGCUCUGGGUCUGACUCUUUUCUUUUGGCAUAUUUUCAAAGCUCAUCCUUGUACCGUGUCAUCAGUACUUCAGUCCUUUUUACUGCUGAAUAGUGUUCCAUUGCACCGAUAUGGGACCUGCACCACAUAGGGUUUAUCCUUUCAUCUGGUAAGCAGCUGUGUGCAUAAAAACCUGAUGUGAUUUACUUGGCUGGUGCAUUUUUAUUACUUAUUUAUUUGUGUUUUUGUCUUUUUAGGGCCACACCCAUGACAUAUGGAAGUUCCCAGGCUAGGGAUCUAACUGAAGCUACAGCUGCCGGCCUACACCACAGCCAUAGCAACACAGGAUCCGAGCCUUAUUCCUAGUUGGAUUCGUUUCCGCUGGGCCAGGAUGGGAACCCCGGCUGGUACGUUUUUAAAAAAUUAAAACUUUUGGAGUUCCUGUUGUGGCUCAGCAGAAGUGAAUCUGACUAAUACACAUGAAGAUGCGGGUUCCACCCCUGGCCUCCCUCAGUGGGUUAAGGCUCUGAUGUUGCCGUGAGCUGUGGUGUAGGUCACAAAUGUGGCUCAGAUCCUGCGUUGCUAUGCCUGUGGUGUAGGCCAGUGGCUGUAGCGCUGAUUCGACCCCUAGCCUAGUAACUUCCAUAUGUCC